Molecule: long non-coding RNA, 696 nt
Filed under: Mytilus galloprovincialis (Mediterranean mussel)
Lineage: Eukaryota; Metazoa; Mollusca; Bivalvia; Mytilida; Mytilidae
Source: RNAcentral
GUAAGUUCUCUGAAAUGUAUCAAUACUGUUCAAUUCGAAAUCAAAGUUUCUAAAAAGCUAUCCAUAAAUUGCACAAUUCAGUUAUUCUAUAUGUUUCCCACAGCUUUCAUUGAUUUCUAAAAAAAAAACAAAUCUUUUAGUUUUUUCUAUUUGCUUGAAAUAAUAGAGUCCAAGUAAUACAUUUAAGGUUUAACAUUAAUUGUUUAAUGUAAAUCGUAAAUCGUAGUUGAAUGAGACUAUGUCCAAGGUACAUGUAUCAAUGUUAUGGACAAUAUCACUUUUCAAAAUAGAUGGUCCAUAGACUUGGUUUCUUUUUUUAAUCAAAAUGUACAUAACGUUUUAUCGGUAUGAAAUUUGAUGCAAACAUGCAUUUGUCAAUCAUUUGUUGCGACCACUAUUUUUUUCUAUCCUAAUGACAACAAAAUAAUAUUAUGAAACAGUUUUCCCCGGAAAGAUCCUGUUAAAAAAAACGUAUAAUAUUCCCUGAGCUGUAUAUUCAGCAUGACAUUUUUACAAGUCAGACCACAAUUUUUAAAUCCUAUUACAGUUAAAGUAUCAACGUUGCAGAAGUAAUACAAUGGUUAAAUCUUUGAGUUUAAUGUAUAGAAACGUUCAUCUAUUCUCUUAAAAUUCGGAUCUAAUGGUUCAUUAGAAAAAAUAAUACACGAUGUUCUGUUUUUACUUCAUGUAUUGUUU